This 504-nucleotide ribosomal RNA is filed under the name uncultured bacterium. RNAcentral's name for it is "bacterial SSU rRNA". It matches the Rfam family "Bacterial small subunit ribosomal RNA", at positions 903 to 1397 of the family's 1533-position model. The record is from RNAcentral.
AAAUGAAUAGACGGGGACCCGCACAAGCGGUGGAACAUGUGGUUUAAUUCGAAGCAACGCGAAGAACCUUACCAGGGCUUGACAUCUGACGAACCUCGAUGAAAGUUGAGGGUGCUCUUCGGAGAGCGUCAAGACAGGUGGUGCACGGUUGUCGUCAGCUCGUGUCGUGAGAUGUUGGGUUAAGUCCCGCAACGAGCGCAACCCACGUUGUCAGUUGGUACUGUCGGUAUACUUACAGUAACCUCUCUGGCGAGACUGCCGGUGAUAAACCGGAGGAAGGUGUGGACGACGUCAAAUCAUCAUGCCCCUUAUGCUCUGGGCUACACACGUGUUACAAUGGCUGGUACAACGAGUCGCCAACUCGCGAGAGUGAGCAAAUCUCUAAAAGCCAGUCUCAGUUCGGAUUGCACUCUGCAACUCGAGUGCAUGAAGUCGGAAUCGCUAGUAAACGCAGAUCAGCACGCUGCGUUGAAUACGUUCCCGGGUCUUGUACACACCGCCCGU